Brassica rapa (field mustard) is the source of this 72-nucleotide non-coding RNA. Lineage: Eukaryota; Viridiplantae; Streptophyta; Magnoliopsida; Brassicales; Brassicaceae. The record is from Rfam.
GUGGCUGUAGUAUAGUGGUAAGUAUCCCGCGUUGUGGCCGUGGAGACCCGGGCUCAAAUCCCGGCAGCCACA